Molecule: long non-coding RNA, 1914 nt
Organism: Macaca fascicularis (crab-eating macaque)
Lineage: Eukaryota; Metazoa; Chordata; Mammalia; Primates; Cercopithecidae
Source: Ensembl
CUCACAGACGGUGAUGAGCUACGGCUGGAUACGCUGCACGCCCAGGCCCCAGGGUGGGAUGUGUGGUGGGCCUGUGGGCUCCCCUGCCCCAGAGUGGGAGACACACACACAGACCCCCGCCCAGGGUGGGACUCCACACACCCCCCCCAGGGUGGGAGACACACACACAGACCCCCACCUAGGGUGGGAGACACACAGACCCCCGCCCCACGGUGGGAGACACACACACAGACCCCCCGCCCUAGGGUGGGAGACACACACAGACCCCCUGCCCCAGGGUGGGAGAUACACACACAGACCCCCUGCCCCAGGGUGGGAGACACACACAGACCCCCCGCCCUAGGGUGGGAGACACACACAGACCCCCUGCCCCAGGGUGGGAGAUACACAGACCCCCACCCCAGGGUGGGAGAUACACAGACCCCCGCCCCAGGGUUGGAGAUACACACACAGACCCCCUGCCCCAGGGUGGGACCCACACAGACCCUUCCCCAGGGUGGGAGAGAUACACACACAGACCCUGCCCCAGGGUGGGAGACACACACACCCCUACCCAGGGUGGGACCCACACACACCCCCCCCAGGGUGGGAGACACACACACACACACCCCUGCCCCAGGGUGGGACCACACACACACCCCCCCAGGGUGGGAGACACACACACACACACAUCCCCUGCCCCAGGGUGGGAGACGCACACACAGACCCCCCGCCCCAGGGUGGGACCCACACACACACCCCCUGCCCCAGGGUGGGACCCACACACACACCCCCCGCCCCAGGGUGGGAGACACACACACACACAUCCCCUGCCCCAGGGUGGGACCCACACACACCCCUGCCCCAGGGUGGGACCCACACACACCCCUCCCAGGGUGGGACCCACACACACUCCCCCCCCAGGGUGGGACCCACACACACCCUCCCCCAGGGUGGGAGAUACACACACAGACCCCUGCCCAGGGUGGGACCCACACACAGACCCUGCCCCAGGGUGGGACACACAGACCCCUGCCCCAGGGUGGGACCCACACACAGACCCCUGCCCCAGGGUGGACACACACAGACCCCUGCCCCAGGGUGGGACACACACACAGACCCCCUGCCCCAGGGUGGGACCCACACACAGACCCCCUGCCCCAGGGUGGGAGAUACACAGACCCCCUGCCCCAGGGUGGGACCCACACACAGACCCCCUGCCCCAGGGUGGGACACACACACAGACCCCCUGCCCCAGGGUGGGACCCACACACAGACCCCCUGCCCCAGGGUGGGACACACACACACACCCCCUGCCCCAGGGUGGGACACACACACACACCCCCUGCCCCAGGGUGGGACCCACACACACCCCUGCCCCAGGUGGGACACACACACACACCCUGCCCCAGGGUGGGACACACACACACCCCCCUGCCCCAGGGUGGGACCCACACACACCCCCCGCCCCAGGGUGGGAGAUACACACACAGACCCCCUGCCCCAGGGUGGGACACACACACAGACCCCCUGCCCCAGGGUGGGACACACACACACACACCCCCCGCCCCAGGGUGGGACACACACAGACCCCCUGCCCCAGGGUGGGACACACACACACACCCCCCGCCCCAGGGUGGGACACACACACACCCAACUGCGUUGCUGACUGUGAGGAUGGGCUUUGGGCACCUCCUGCCUCCUGCCCUUGCAGGACCACUUGGCCCAGCCCAGCUGCCAUGGCUGCCCAGCCGGAGGGUGCUGCUCAGUGAGGGGACCCUCUUGUGGGCUGUGGUCACCAGGCUUCUGUUGUUGACCAGCUCUCUCUCAGCCGAGGCCACCCUCAGUCACAUGAGUUGUCCUGGGCUGGGACCUCUGGCCCUGUGGCCACUGGGCAGGUGCUGGCCGGGGUGCAGUCUCACCUGUGAAGGAUAA